Long non-coding RNA from Oxyura jamaicensis (ruddy duck), 76 nucleotides. RefSeq lists it as uncharacterized. Lineage: Eukaryota; Metazoa; Chordata; Aves; Anseriformes; Anatidae. The record is from RefSeq and is a predicted model, not a curated record. The transcript is spliced from 3 exons.
GGAGGGAGACUACACAGCCUCUCUAGCCAAUGUAUGCCAGUGUUCAGUCACCUGCACAAUAAAAAGGUAUUUCAUU